This 400-nucleotide ribosomal RNA is filed under the name uncultured Glomeromycotina. RNAcentral describes it as "SSU rRNA". It matches the Rfam family "Eukaryotic small subunit ribosomal RNA", at positions 572 to 991 of the family's 1831-position model. Lineage: Eukaryota; Fungi; Glomeromycota. The record is from RNAcentral.
AGCAGCCGAGCUCCAAUAGGGUAUAUUAAAGUUGUUGCAACUAAAAAGCUCGUAGUUGAAUUUCGGGGUUAGUAAGUUGGUCAUGCCUUCGGUAUGUACUGUUGGCUUUACUGAUUCCUCCUUCUUGACGAACCGUGAUGUCAUUAAUUUGGUGUUGCGGGAAAUCAGGACUGUUACUUUGAAAAAAUUAGAGUGUUUAAAGCAGGCUAACGCUUGAAUACAUUAGCAUGGAAUAAUGAAAUAGGACGUUAAUCCUAUUUUGUUGGUUUCUAGGAUCGACGUAAUGAUUAAUAGGGAUAGUUGGGGGCAUUAGUAUUCAAUUGUCAGAGGUGAAAUAUUGAAGACUAACUACUGCGAAAGCAUUUGCAAAGGAUGUUUUCAUUAAUCAAGAACGAAAGUU